Molecule: ribosomal RNA, 1357 nt
Filed under: metagenome
Description: bacterial LSU rRNA
Rfam family: Bacterial large subunit ribosomal RNA
Source: RNAcentral
CAAAAAAUGUAAAGCGUUAUGUGGAUCGAACAUUAGUAGAGAAGCGUGUGAGCCAGCUGCCAAGAAAAGCCGCUAUUGUUUCAUAAGUACCCGUACCGUAAACCGACACAGGUGGAUGAGGAGAGAAUCCUAAGGCCGGCGGGAGAAGUGUUGUUAAGGAACUCGGCAAAAUGACUCCGUAACUUCGGGAGAAGGAGUGCCACAGAGAUGUGGCCGCAGAGAAAUGGCCCAAGCAACUGUUUAGCAAAAACACAGGUCUAUGCAAAACCGAAAGGUGAGGUAUAUGGGCUGACGCCUGCCCGGUGCUGGAAGGUUAAGAGGAGAGGUUAGAGCAAUCGAAGCUUUGAAUUUAAGCCCCAGUAAACGGCGGCCGUAACUAUAACGGUCCUAAGGUAGCGAAAUUCCUUGUCGGGUAAGUUCCGACCCGCACGAAAGGCGUAAUGAUUUGGGCACUGUCUCAACAACACACCCGGUGAAAUUGAAAUACCAGUGAAGAUGCUGGUUACCUGCGCCAGGACGGAAAGACCCCAUGGAGCUUUACUCCAGUUUGAUACUGGGAUUCGGUACUGUCUGUACAGGAUAGGUGGGAGGCUAGGAAAUGGUGACGCCAGUUGCCAUGGAGCCAACCUUGGGAUACCACCCUUACAGUACUGGGUUUCUAACCUGCAGCCGUAACCCGGCUGGGGGACAAUGUCUGACGGGGAGUUUGACUGGGGCGGUCGCCUCCGAAAGAGUAUCGGAGGCGCUCAAAGGUUCCCUCAGAACGGUUGGAAACCGUUCGAAGAGUGCAAAGGCAGAAGGGAGCUUGACUGCGACACCGACGGGUGGAGCAGAUACGAAAGUAGGACUUAGUGAUCCGGUGGUAUAAAGUGGGAUUGCCAUCGCUCAACGGAUAAAAGCUACCCUGGGAUAACAGGCUUAUCACUCCCAAGAGUUCACAUCGACGGAGUGGUUUGGCACCUCGAUGUCGGCUCAUCGCAUCCUGGAGCUGUAGCAGGUUCCAAGGGUUGGGCUGUUCGCCCAUUAAAGCGGUACGCGAGCUGGGUUCAGAACGUCGUGAGACAGUUCGGUCCCUAUCCGGCGUGGGCGUAGGAUAUUUGAGAGGAGCUGUCCUUAGUACGAGAGGACCGGGAUGGACAAACCUCUGGUGUAUCUGUUGUUUUACCAAAGGCAUGGCAGAGUAGCCAAGUUUGGCAGGGAUAAACGCUGAAGGCAUCUAAGCGUGAAGCCCCCCUCAAGAUAAGAUAUCCCAUCUUCGGAGUAAGACCCCUUGAAGACUACAAGGUUGAUAGGCUUCAGGUGUAAGUGUGGUAACGCACUCAGCUGAGAAGUACUAAUAGGUCGAGGACUUAUCCUU